RNAcentral lists this ribosomal RNA (827 nucleotides) under uncultured cyanobacterium. Its description in RNAcentral is "bacterial SSU rRNA". It matches the Rfam family "Bacterial small subunit ribosomal RNA", at positions 28 to 897 of the family's 1533-position model. The record is from RNAcentral. Lineage: Bacteria; Bacillati; Cyanobacteriota.
GAUGAACGCUGGCGGUAUGCUUAACACAUGCAAGUCGAACGGAAGUCUUCGGACUUUAGUGGCGGACGGGUGAGUAACGCGUGAGAAUCUACCUUCAGGAUGGGGACAACAUUAGGAAACUGAUGCUAAUACCCAAUAUGCCGAGAGGUGAAAGGCUUGCUGCCUGAAGAAGAGCUCGCGUCUGAUUAGUUAGUUGGUGGGGUAAUGGCCUACCAAGGCAGCGAUCAGUAGCUGGUCUGAGAGGAUGAUCAGCCACACUGGGACUGAGACACGGCCCAGACUCCUACGGGAGGCAGCAGUGGGGAAUUUUCCGCAAUGGGCGAAAGCCUGACGGAGCAAUACCGCGUGAGGGAGGAAGGCUUUUGGGUUGUAAACCUCUUUUAUUCGGGAAGAAGAACUGACGGUACCGAAUGAAUCAGCAUCGGCUAACUCCGUGCCAGCAGCCGCGGUAAUACGGAGGAUGCAAGCGUUAUCCGGAUUUAUUGGGCGUAAAGCGUCCGCAGGUGGUUUUACAAGUCUGCUGUCAAAGCGCGGAGCUUAACUCCGUAAGGGCGGUGGAAACUGUGAGACUAGAGUCUGGUAGGGGUCACGGGAAUUCCCAGUGUAGCGGUGAAAUGCGUAGAUAUUGGGAAGAACACCGGCGGCGAAAGCGCGUGACUGGACCGGAACUGACACUGAGGGACGAAAGCUAGGGGAGCGAAAGGGAUUAGAUACCCCUGUAGUCCUAGCCGUAAACGAUGGAAACUAGGUGUUGCCCGUAUCGACCCGGGCAGUGCCGUAGCUAACGCGUUAAGUUUCCCGCCUGGGGAGUACGCACGCAAGUGUGA